Molecule: ribosomal RNA, 2894 nt
Filed under: Escherichia coli O27:H7
Lineage: Bacteria; Pseudomonadati; Pseudomonadota; Gammaproteobacteria; Enterobacterales; Enterobacteriaceae
Description: bacterial LSU rRNA
Rfam family: Bacterial large subunit ribosomal RNA
Source: RNAcentral
ACUAAGCGUACACGGUGGAUGCCCUGGCAGUCAGAGGCGAUGAAGGACGUGCUAAUCUGCGAUAAGCGUCGGUAAGGUGAUAUGAACCGUUAUAACCGGCGAUUUCCGAAUGGGGAAACCCAGUGUGAUUCGUCACACUAUCAUUAACUGAAUCCAUAGGUUAAUGAGGCGAACCGGGGGAACUGAAACAUCUAAGUACCCCGAGGAAAAGAAAUCAACCGAGAUUCCCCCAGUAGCGGCGAGCGAACGGGGAGCAGCCCAGAGCCUGAAUCAGUGUGUGUGUUAGUGGAAGCGUCUGGAAAGGCGCGCGAUACAGGGUGACAGCCCCGUACACAAAAAUGCACAUGCUGUGAGCUCGAUGAGUAGGGCGGGACACGUGGUAUCCUGUCUGAAUAUGGGGGGACCAUCCUCCAAGGCUAAAUACUCCUGACUGACCGAUAGUGAACCAGUACCGUGAGGGAAAGGCGAAAAGAACCCCGGCGAGGGGAGUGAAAAAGAACCUGAAACCGUGUACGUACAAGCAGUGGGAGCACGCUUAGGCAGUGUGACUGCGUACCUUUUGUAUAAUGGGUCAGCGACUUAUAUUCUGUAGCAAGGUUAACCGAAUAGGGGAGCCGAAGGGAAACCGAGUCUUAACUGGGCGUUAAGUUGCAGGGUAUAGACCCGAAACCCGGUGAUCUAGCCAUGGGCAGGUUGAAGGUUGGGUAACACUAACUGGAGGACCGAACCGACUAAUGUUGAAAAAUUAGCGGAUGACUUGUGGCUGGGGGUGAAAGGCCAAUCAAACCGGGAGAUAGCUGGUUCUCCCCGAAAGCUAUUUAGGUAGCGCCUCGUGAAUUCAUCUCCGGGGGUAGAGCACUGUUUCGGCAAGGGGGUCAUCCCGACUUACCAACCCGAUGCAAACUGCGAAUACCGGAGAAUGUUAUCACGGGAGACACACGGCGGGUGCUAACGUCCGUCGUGAAGAGGGAAACAACCCAGACCGCCAGCUAAGGUCCCAAAGUCAUGGUUAAGUGGGAAACGAUGUGGGAAGGCCCAGACAGCCAGGAUGUUGGCUUAGAAGCAGCCAUCAUUUAAAGAAAGCGUAAUAGCUCACUGGUCGAGUCGGCCUGCGCGGAAGAUGUAACGGGGCUAAACCAUGCACCGAAGCUGCGGCAGCGACGCUUAUGCGUUGUUGGGUAGGGGAGCGUUCUGUAAGCCUGUGAAGGUGUACUGUGAGGUAUGCUGGAGGUAUCAGAAGUGCGAAUGCUGACAUAAGUAACGAUAAAGCGGGUGAAAAGCCCGCUCGCCGGAAGACCAAGGGUUCCUGUCCAACGUUAAUCGGGGCAGGGUGAGUCGACCCCUAAGGCGAGGCCGAAAGGCGUAGUCGAUGGGAAACAGGUUAAUAUUCCUGUACUUGGUGUUACUGCGAAGGGGGGACGGAGAAGGCUAUGUUGGCCGGGCGACGGUUGUCCCGGUUUAAGCGUGUAGGCUGGUUUUCCAGGCAAAUCCGGAAAAUCAAGGCUGAGGCGUGAUGACGAGGCACUACGGUGCUGAAGCAACAAAUGCCCUGCUUCCAGGAAAAGCCUCUAAGCAUCAGGUAACAUCAAAUCGUACCCCAAACCGACACAGGUGGUCAGGUAGAGAAUACCAAGGCGCUUGAGAGAACUCGGGUGAAGGAACUAGGCAAAAUGGUGCCGUAACUUCGGGAGAAGGCACGCUGAUAUGUAGGUGAAGUCCCUCGCGGAUGGAGCUGAAAUCAGUCGAAGAUACCAGCUGGCUGCAACUGUUUAUUAAAAACACAGCACUGUGCAAACACGAAAGUGGACGUAUACGGUGUGACGCCUGCCCGGUGCCGGAAGGUUAAUUGAUGGGGUUAGCGCAAGCGAAGCUCUUGAUCGAAGCCCCGGUAAACGGCGGCCGUAACUAUAACGGUCCUAAGGUAGCGAAAUUCCUUGUCGGGUAAGUUCCGACCUGCACGAAUGGCGUAAUGAUGGCCAGGCUGUCUCCACCCGAGACUCAGUGAAAUUGAACUCGCUGUGAAGAUGCAGUGUACCCGCGGCAAGACGGAAAGACCCCGUGAACCUUUACUAUAGCUUGACACUGAACAUUGAGCCUUGAUGUGUAGGAUAGGUGGGAGGCUUUGAAGUGUGGACGCCAGUCUGCAUGGAGCCGACCUUGAAAUACCACCCUUUAAUGUUUGAUGUUCUAACGUGGACCCGUAAUCCGGGUUGCGGACAGUGUCUGGUGGGUAGUUUGACUGGGGCGGUCUCCUCCUAAAGAGUAACGGAGGAGCACGAAGGUUGGCUAAUCCUGGUCGGACAUCAGGAGGUUAGUGCAAUGGCAUAAGCCAGCUUGACUGCGAGCGUGACGGCGCGAGCAGGUGCGAAAGCAGGUCAUAGUGAUCCGGUGGUUCUGAAUGGAAGGGCCAUCGCUCAACGGAUAAAAGGUACUCCGGGGAUAACAGGCUGAUACCGCCCAAGAGUUCAUAUCGACGGCGGUGUUUGGCACCUCGAUGUCGGCUCAUCACAUCCUGGGGCUGAAGUAGGUCCCAAGGGUAUGGCUGUUCGCCAUUUAAAGUGGUACGCGAGCUGGGUUUAGAACGUCGUGAGACAGUUCGGUCCCUAUCUGCCGUGGGCGCUGGAGAACUGAGGGGGGCUGCUCCUAGUACGAGAGGACCGGAGUGGACGCAUCACUGGUGUUCGGGUUGUCAUGCCAAUGGCACUGCCCGGUAGCUAAAUGCGGAAGAGAUAAGUGCUGAAAGCAUCUAAGCACGAAACUUGCCCCGAGAUGAGUUCUCCCUGACUCCUUGAGAGUCCUGAAGGAACGUUGAAGACGACGACGUUGAUAGGCCGGGUGUGUAAGCGCAGCGAUGCGUUGAGCUAACCGGUACUAAUGAACCGUGAGGCUUAACC